Long non-coding RNA from Bos taurus (domestic cattle), 1105 nucleotides. Lineage: Eukaryota; Metazoa; Chordata; Mammalia; Artiodactyla; Bovidae. The record is from Ensembl.
CUGUGACUAGUGGUCCUGUUCUACUUUUUUCUUCUUCAUUUUCUGUCGACAUCUGAGCUGUCACACUCACCCCCUGCUUCUAGGGCACCUUCUCUCAUCUCCUAUUCUUAUCCCAAAGUAAUAUUUUUUUCCUCUGUGUCCUCUAAUAUGUGACUGGGGUCAACCUCGCAGCGUGAUCGCUUUCUGCCCUGCAUGACAGUCAUCUAGGCACUGGACCGGCCUCCCGCGCUGGACCGUAGCUCGUGGAGGGUGAGGCCUUGCCCAUUUGCACGUUCUUCAAGUGCAGACGCUGUGCCCGGGCCCCAUGCCCACGUGGAACAGGCUAAAUGCACUUCCAAAUUCAAAGUUGAUUAGACACGCUACAUGUUAACGCCUGAUUUAAUUGCGGAUGUGCAGACACGCAGAGGCAGCCAGCCUCCCCCCAGCUCUCCUUGGCAGAAUCCAGCCUGAGCACAGCUGUCAGGACAGCUGGCCUCCGUCCCACAGGGCCAAGCACAUGGCUUCCCACAGUGUCUGUUCCCAUCUCAGGGCCAGUGGGAUUCUGUCUUGAUCUCCAGGACUUUCCCUACAGAGGUCAGUUCUUUUCUGUUUUUCCCACCUUUCAUGGCUUUUCAGUGUUGCAUUUUACCUUGCCAGUGGUCACACCUUCCCACUUUGAUACAUAAGAAAUUUUCUUCUAUGUGAUUAAACUCCAUAUGUUGUUUGGCUUAUUAAGUCGUGUGUGCAUGCCAAGUCCCUUCAGUCAUGCCUGACUCUUUGCAACCCCCUGGACUGUAUCCUGCCAGGCUCCUCUGUCCAUGGGAUUCUCCAGGCAAGAAUGUUGGAGUGGAUUGCCAUUUCCUCCUCCAGGGGAUCUUCCCAACCCAGGGAUUGAGCCCGCCCACGUCUCUAUGUCUUCCUGCCUUGGCAGGCGGGUUCUUUACCACUACUGUGAAGUGGCACCAACUCCUGCCUGCCUAGGAGACAGCAGCUCACGUCCGUUUAACAAAUCCCAGGCACCACUGAAUUAAAAAAAAAGAUGAUUGGUCCCUUUUAUCUGGGGCUACACACGUGGGUGUUAGGAAGUCUUGAUGUGUGCAGCCCCUUAACACUGAUCUGAAGAAGG